RNAcentral lists this long non-coding RNA (16313 nucleotides) under Vitis vinifera (wine grape). RNAcentral describes it as "long non-coding RNA (VVIN_LNC003365)". Lineage: Eukaryota; Viridiplantae; Streptophyta; Magnoliopsida; Vitales; Vitaceae. The record is from RNAcentral.
UUCUGGCCACCCCACAAGCAAAACCUUCCACCAGGACCCAAACCAGGGCUGAUCAUAAGAAACCUAAACCUCAUUGGCCAUCUCCCCCACCGGUCCCUCCACAAAGUGUCCCAAAAAUAUGGACAAAUAAUGCAAGCUUCAAUUCGGGUCUAUCCCAAUGGUAGUGGCCUUGUCUUCAGAAAUGGCAAGGCAGUUCUUAAAGACAAAUUAUCACCUCUUUGCCUCUAGGCCUCAGACUGCUGCUGGCAAGUACACUGCUUAUAACUAUUCCAACAUCAUCUGGGCACCUUUCGGUCCAUAUUGGCGUCAGGAGAGUAAAAUCUACCACACAGAGCUGUUCAACUGGAAAAAGCUCGAGUCUUAUGAAUAUAUUGGGGUCGAAGGAAGGUGGGCUUUCAUCUCCCACCUCUAUGCGUUGUCAGGAAAGCCAGUCAUGCUUAAAGACCAUCUCUCUCGCGUUACUCUCGGCGUUAUAAGCAGAAUUGUACUGCGGGAGAAGUAUUCAAUGAGUCUGAAUCCGGGAGGUCAAUAGUGACGGUGGAAGAGUUCCAAGAGAUGCUGGAUGGGUUGUUCUUGCUUAAUGGUGUGUUGAAUAUUAGGGAUUGGAUACCGCGGAUUGCAUUCUUGGACUUGCAGGGGUAUGUGAAGAGGAUGAAGGCUUUGCGCCAUAAAUUUGAUAGGUUUUAUGAUCAUGUGCUUGAGAAACACAGGGCCAGUUGAGAAGCAGAGGACUUUGUGGCUAAGGAUAUGGUGGAUAUGCUUCUGAGAUUGGUCGAUGAUCCUGAUCUUGAGGUUAAGCUCGGUACUGAUGGGGUCAAAGGGCUUACCCUGGUUAAUGUUAUAUGAGUUAGGAACAUAUCCAGCCAUUCAAAUUAGGCCUAUUCUAUUGAAAUCUCAUGAUAAUUUUGCUUGUUUGGUUGUUUCAUGGUCAGGACCUGAUUGCUGGUGGUACAGAUAGCUCAGCUACUACUAUGGAAUGGGCGAUGUCUGAGAUCUUGAGGUAGCCAAGCACAGCUAAUAAGGCAACUGAAGAGCUGGAUAGAGUCACAGGGAGAGAUAGAUGGGGGGAAGAGAAAGACAUCCCCCAACUUCCUUAAUAUAGAUGCAAUUGUGAAGGAGACAAUGAGGCUACACCCUGUCACUAGCUGUCCUGCUAGCACCUCACCUGGCUCUUCAUGAUUGCAAUGUAGCUGGCUGUGAUAUUCGCAGAGGAACCCAAGUCCUUGUAAACGCAUGGAGCAUAGGACCCCAACAUAUGGGAUGCACCGGAGGAAUUUCGACCAGAGAGGUUCCUAGGGAAGGCAAUUGAUGUGAAGGGGCAAAACUUGAGCUGCUGCCAUUUGGUUCAAGGCGGAGGAUGUGUGCUGGAUACAGGCUUGGCCUAAAGAUGAUUCGAUCAAGCUUGACUAACAUGCUGCAUGGAUUCCACUGGAAAUUGCCUUGGGAUAUGAAGACAGAAGAGCUGAACAUGGAGGAAGGUCCCGCUUGUUGCUGUCAUGGAGCCUAGACUUCCAAGUCAUCUUUACUAGUCGUGCCUUAGACCUAUGUUUUCUUAAUCUUAUUCAGGUUUGUGCUGUGGUUUUACUGAGGUUCUGGCGUAAAGCGGUUUCUGAAUAAAUGGUUUGGGAUUUUGGUGACCUGAUCUUAAGCCUAUGGCCUUGAUGGGAACUUUCUUUUUUCGGUUCCUUCUGUGCUUCUCCUCCUUCCUUUAUCUCCUCCUUAUGCAAGUCAUUUUCACUUUGGACUGUGUACAUAAAGGGCCCAAUAGGAAUAUCUUGGUAGUCCUGGAGAGGCUCCAGGGUCUUAACCACAGUGCUCAUUGUUGGUCUAUGCUUUGGCAUGUGGCUCAUGCACCAGUAAGCCAAUGCAGCAGCCUUUUGAGCCCCUGCUUCUGAGUAUUGGCCUUCAACUCUUGGAUCCAUUAUUCUGGUGAGCUUCCUGGAAUAGUUCAGUUGAGGCCUAGCCCAUUCUGCUAGGUUCUUCUCCCUGUUAGGCCUGGUCUUGUCCAUUGAUCUUCUCCCAGUUAGUAGCUUCAAGAGCACCACUCCAAAGCUGUAAACAUCGCUCAUUGCUGUCAAAUGCCCUGCAAACAAGCAAACUUCUUAUUUGUACUCCAAAGGAAUAUGCCCUUAACAUUCAAUCUAGAUUGGAUUAAACCUUACUGAAUUUCCUGUGAUAAUGUACUCUGGAGCAGCUUACCCUUGUGUCCCCAUGACUCGGGUUGAAACAUGCGUGUCAUCGCCUUCAGGGCCGUCUUUUGCUAAACCAAAAUCUUAUAAUUUGGGAGUAUGAUCCUGAAAAAGGUAUCAACAAAAGGUCAGCGAUCAUAAACAAAGCCAACAAUAAUGCUGAAGUGGAUGAAUUAGAACUCGCCACAGGUAACAGUAUGAUCCCCAUUUUAUAGGCAGCAUGAUACCCAUUUUAUAGCUAACAUGGGAAUUCGUGUUGUUAGGAAUUGGAAGGAACACGAAAGAAAAUCAUCAUUAAUAAGAUUCCUUCUAUUAUUAGCCUGUCAAUGAAACUAAGACAUGUUAUAAGAUCAUAGAUUGUUAGCCCUUGGGGGCUGUCUAACUAUGUUUUGAUGAUAACAACAUAAGAUGAAGUGUACUGAGUUGUUUGAAUUAAGAAAAGUUUCAAGUUUUAUUGAAAAUUUCAAAAGAAAGAUAAAGAUUGUCUAAAAAAAGAUUUGAAGGACACGAAAAAAUGAAUCCUUAAAGAUUUAUAAGGUUUAAGAAAUUUUGUAAGAUGAAUCUCUUGCAUGUGUUUAGGAUUAAACUGAUUUUUAUACACUUUUAAUGCAUUCAUUUAGAUUUAGGCGACAUUUGUUUUUUUAACUUUUUACUGAAAGCAAAUUGCUUUCAGAUUUCAAAUUGUUUAUUUCUUCACUUUUUGUUAAUUUAUUAUUUAUUUAAAAAAAAAUUUUAUUGAAUAGAAAAAGAUAAAAUAUUUGAUUUUUUUUUUUAAAGUUAAAAAUAACAUUGGUUUUUGUUUAUUUUUUAAUACUUAAUAAAAAUGAAAUAUUAAAAAACAAACAACUUGAGUGCAAUUGAAAUCCCAUAUCAAUAUUAAGAUCAAUUUUAAUAAUAUUUAUAAUGUCCAUAUAAUUUUAAAACAUAUUUAUACAAUAAAAAAUGGCCUACUAUAUAUAAUAUGUUAGGAAAAGAAAAUUUUUCUCCACAGAAGUCGAGUUUUACAAAAUCCUACCACAAGUCAAUAAAAAAAGAAAAAUGUUUGACGUAAGUUGAGAUUAGAGUUUGAAAUUACAAGUAAUGCAAGUGUAAAGUUUUCAUUAUGCAUGUUUGUGCAAUUUUCCUUAAAUCUUGAAAGUCACGGAUAACAAAAUAUGACCAUAAUCCACCAAUUCAUACACUAAAAAAUAUCUUCUAUAGAGGGAAUAGUCCUGAACCAUAAAAAAUAUAGAGACAGGCCGGCCAUGGGGUGGGUUCAAUUAUUAUUGAGAUCGCUCAUGGGGUGAAACAAUUUUAUUCUAUGCAACUUGAUUAUUGAGAUGGUGAUGGGGAUAAAAGAAGGUCCACCCUUAAUGUCAGGACAAAGAAGCAUGUUGCCCAUGAUUUUCUGAAAAGCUAAACAUAUUCUAAACAGUACUUCUUGCAAGCCCAAAGACACCAAAGUAGUGCAUCAGAAGAGCUUGGAAAGAGGUGUUGGGUGCUAGGUCAAUUUUUCGAAUAGAUCAAAAGAAAGCUAAAGAUUGUCUAAAAAAGAUUUGAAGGACACCAAAGGAUGAAUCCUUAAAGAUUUAUAAGGUCUAAGAAAUUUUGUAAGAUGAAUCUCUUGCGUGUAUUUAAUAUUAAAUUGAUUUUCAUACAUUUUUAAUGUAUUCAUUUAGACUUAGUUGACGCUUGUUUUUUUAACUUUUUGUUGAAAGCAAAUUACUUUUAGAUUUUAAAUCAUUUAUUUCUUAAAUUUUUUUAUUAAAUAGAAAAUAAUAAAAUAUUUGAUUUUUUCUUAAAGUUAAAAAUAAUAUAUUAGUUUUUAUUUACUUUUUAAUACUUAAUAGAAAUGAAAUAUUUAAAAACAAACAACUUGAGUGCAAUUGAAAUCUCGUAUCAAUAUUAAGAUCAAUUUUAAUACCAUUUAUAAUGUCCAUAUAAUUUUAAAACAUAUUUAUACAAUAAAAAAUGGCAUACUAUAUAUAAUAUGUUAGGAAGAGAAAAUUUUUCUCCAUAGAAGUUGAGUUUCACAAAAUCCUACCACAAGUCAAUAAAAAAAGAAAAAUGUUUGACAUAAGUUGGGAUCAGAGUUUGAAAUUAUAAGUGAUGCAAGUGUAAAGUUUUCAUUAUGCAUGUUUGUACAAUUUUCCUUAAAUCUUGAAAGUUACGGAUAACAAAAUAUGACCAUAAGCCAACAAUUCAUGCACUAAAAAAUAUCUUCUAUAGAGGGAAUAGUCUUGAACCAUAAAAAAUAUAGAGACAGGGCGGACAUGGGCUGGGUUCAAUUAUUAUUGAGAUCGCAGAUGGGAUGAAGCAGUUGUAUUCUAUGCAAACUUGAUUAUUGAGAUGGUGAUGGGGAUAAAAGAAGAUCCACCCUUAAUGUCACGACAAAGGCAUAUUCCAAACAAUACUUCUUGCAAGCCCAAAGACACCAAAGUAGUGCAUCAGAAGAACUUGGAAAGAGGUGUUGGGUGCUAGGUCAAUUUUUCGAAUAGAUUGAAGUAAAAUGUUUGUUUAUGAAAAUUUUUUAAAUACGAAUUGAUAAUGUGAAAGGUACAGUAUUGUUUUAUAUUUAAAUUGAAAGUGUCAAUUUUUUGUUUUUUCUGAUCUCCAUGCAUUACAUAACUCCAUCAGAAAUUCCCGGGGUGAGUAAUAGGAUUUGACGAUAGACUUAAAAAGUCAUCUAUAGACACUUUAUACGUAAUCAUUCUAGAUAACACUUGUAUUCUCUGUAUUACCUGAUAUAAAGUUAAUAGAUGCUCAUUCCUAUAUAUAUAAUGAUAUCUCAAAAGAUUUAAUUUUUUAUUAUAUUUAAUUCUUUUUAUUUUUCUUUAUUGAGUUAUCGAAUUGACUUUAUUUAUUAUUCCACUUUUUAAGAACAAGUGAUAUUGAUGUAAAAGGAUCGGGAUAGAAAUGAUAUUUUGAUUAGAAGCAACUUUGGAAUUGAUUAUUUAGGAUUAUUGACUUAAAGACUAAUGUCAUUUAUAACUUCUACAAUUUUUUAUUUAAAUGUUAUUAUUGAGCUAUUUUAAUUAGUUUUGAAUUUAUUGGUAAUGUAUUAAGCUCUGACAUGUGAAAUGAGUCUGGUACCUUUAGCUUUUGCGUUGGAGACUUUCUAUUGGGUAGGCUUGGCCGAAGUCCCACUCUCAAAUCACUACCAUAAAAGUUGUUUCCUUGUUAGGAGAAAUGUCCAAGAAAAUUGCAGACUGAGGCCCCAUGAACGAGAAAGGAGGUCAAUUAUUGAAGCACUCAUUCAUUUAGUUCUGCUGUGCAACUUCUGUUUAUGCAUCAUCUUUAUAUAAAAGGUUUCAUGGGAGGGCCAAGAGGAGAUACAUAUGAUCAGGCAUGAUAAAAGCAUGGUGUUCCCAUACACUUUAACAUGAUAAACAGGGCAAGGAUUAAUGAGCAUUCUUGUAGUCAUAACAUCAAGAAAUAUCCCCCAAUUGAAAGAGACUAAGGUAGUAUUUAGUUUUUUAACUUAAUACUCAAUGUAAUUUACUUUCAAAAUUUUUAAAUAGAAAAAACAAAAAUAUUUAAUAAUAAUAAAAUAAUAAAAAAUAAAUGAUUUAAUAUUUAAUAGUAUUAAGUUAAAUAAAAUUCCAUUUAAAUUUAAGUAAAAAAGCCAAACACGAAAGUAUUAAACUAUAGUAUCCAAUAUUAGCCUUGGCCAUUAGUUGAGAAGGUUGCUGUUCUCCUCCAUGGAUGCAAUGACAGAUUCUUCUGUGUUAAAUUUAUAAAUGUUUUCUCUCUGCUUUUGUGUCAUCUUGGUGGACACUGGAAGAUCAAGCCAUUUAAGUAAGACAUUUUUAUUGGGUUUUGGUGAGUGAAUGAUAUCUCUGAGUGAUACACCUUUUUUAUUUUUAUUUUUAGCUUUUACCUUAUGUUUAAUUCCUCGAAACUAAGAAGGAAAGCAAUUUUUUUUUUAAAUUAUCUUCUCAUAUUAAUUAUUCUAUAUAAAAUAGGAAAAAAAUCAAAUAUAAUUAAAAUUAAUUAAAAAUUUAUAUAUUUUCAAAUUAUUUAAUCUUAUUUGAAAAGAAUUAAAAAAAAAUAAAAUGAAUUGAAAAUAACAUAUAAAAAUAAUUUAUUAAUAUUAAAUAUAUUUUUAUUUUUUAUUUCCUUCCAUUUUUCUUCUUUACUUUCUUUUUCCCUUCCAAUCAAACAUAAUGUUUUAAGUGUUUAAUAAAAUAUUUAAACUCUUGUAAAUGGUUGAAUAGUACUACCAAAAUGUGAUUCACAUGAGUUCAAUAUAUGCUUUCCACCAGCUUAUUUGCUUAUAAAUAGUCCCCCGUUCCUCAAACUUUCACCACCAUUAAUGGAGGCUCCUUCUUGGGUUGUUUUGGCCCUAGCAUGGCUAGCCUCAGUAGCCCUUCUCUCAAAAGUUUUCAGUUUCCGGCCACCCCACAAGCAAAACCUUCCACCAGGUCCCACACCAUGGCCGAUCAUCGGCAACCUAAACCUCAUUGGCCAUCUCCCCCACCGGUCCCUCCACAAACUGUCCCAAAAAUAUGGACAAAUAAUGGAGCUUCGAUUUGGGUCUUUCCCAGUUGUAGUGGCCUCAUCUUCAGAAAUGGCAAAGCAGUUCUUAAAGACAAACGAUCACCUCUUUGCCUCCAGGCCUCACACUGCUGCCGGCAAGUACAUUACUUAUAACUACUCCAACAUCACCUGGGCUCCUUACGGUCCAUACUGGCGCCAAGGGCGUAAAAUCUUCCUCACAGAGCUGUUCAGCUCGAAAAGGCUCGCGUCUUAUGAGUACAUUCGGGUUGAAGAAAGGCAGGCUUUCAUCUCCCGCCUCUACGCAUUGUCAGGAAAGCCAGUCAUGCUUAAAGAACAUCUCUCUCGCGUUACUCUCGGCGUUAUAAGCAGAAUUGUACUGGGGGAGAAGUACUUCAGUGAGUUCGAAUCCGGGAGGUCGAUGUUGACGGUGGAAGAGUGUCAGAAGAUGCUGGGUGAGUUGUUCUUGCUUAAUGGUGUGUUGAAUAUUGGGGAUUGGAUACCGUGGAUUGCAUUCUUGGACUUGCAGGGGUAUGUGAAGAGGAUGAAGGCUUUGCGCGAUAAAUUUGAUAGGUUUUAUGAUCAUGUGCUUGAGAAACACAGGGCCAGAAGAGAAGCAGAGGACUUUGUGGCUAAGGACAUGGUGGAUAUGCUUCUGAGAUUGGCUGAUGAUCCUGAUGUUGAGGUUAAGCUCACUACUGAUGGGAUCAAAGGGUUUACACAGGUUAGUGUUAUUUGAGUUCAUGAACAUAUCCAACCAUUCAAAUUAGGCCUGUUCUAUUGAAACCUCAUGAUAAUUUUGCUUGUUUUGUUGUUUCAUGGUCAGGACCUAAUAGCUGGUGGUACAGAUACCUCAGCUACUACUCUGGAAUGGGCGAUGUCCGAGGUCUUGAGGCAGCCAAACAUAGCUAAAAAGGCAACUGAAGAGCUGGAUAGAGUUAUAGGGAGAGAUAGAUGGGUGGAGGAGAAAGACAUUGCCCAACUUCCUUACAUAGAUGCAAUUGUGAAGGAGACAAUGAGGCUACACCCUAUUGUUGUCCUGCUGGCACCUCACCUGGCUCUUCAAGAUUGCAAUGUAGCUGGCUAUGAUAUUCGCAGAGGAACCCGAGUCCUAGUAAACACAUGGAGCAUAGGGAGGGACCCCAACAUAUGGGAUGCACCCGAGGAAUUUCGACCAGAGAGGUUCCUAGGGAAGGCAAUUGAUGUGAAGGGACAAAGCUUUGAGCUGCUGCCAUUUGGUUCAGGGCGGAGGAUGUGCCCUGGAUACAGCCUUGGCCUAAAGAUGAUUCAAUCGAGCUUGGCUAACAUGUUGCAUGGAUUCCACUGGAAAUUGCCUUGGGAUAUGAAGACAGAAGAGCUGAACAUGGAGGAAGUUUUUGGACUGACAACUCCAAGGAAGGUCCCACUUGUUGCUGUCAUGGAGCCUAGACUCCAAAACCAUCUUUACUAGUCGUGCCUUAGACCUAUGUUUUUGAAGAUGAUCGGAAAAGUGUCCUUCUAGCUCGAUUGCAUGGGCUGGUUUUUAUAUAACAGGGUUGCCUGGCCAUGUGGUAGGCUGGUCAGUCAUUUUCCUGCCUUUUACAAGAAUACAAAAAUGCCUUUUGACUAAUAGGCAAAGGCAGUCAGCUUUCCAUCAAGCGUUUGGUGUGUUAUUAGUUCACCUCGUCAGGUAUUCUUCUUGGAGGGUAGCACGUUGGGGAUGUACUGCUUUUUGGCACCUCCAGUUUUAUUAAUAUUAUUCAGUUGUGUGUAAUGGUUUUGAUCCGUUAAUUGUAUUUCUUCUGUUCUCUAUCCAUGAAUGCAUUAGUGGCUUGCUUAAUUAAUAACAAACCUUUGAAAAAUGAGGUUACUGAUGUUGUCAAAGGAUACACAUAAUUGUAUUUAGACACAUGGCAGAGUGAUCCCUGUAUAAGAAACAAAAUAAGGAAUAUGGGAGUUUAUAGAGAUACGACACCUCGUACACUACUACAUCUCAUCUUCAUCAACCCUAGACCUUUAUCACCUUUUAACAUGUCGGCAUGCUGCAUGCCACUUCUAAUUUUGUUGGUGAAUAAAGCGUAUGUGAUUCUAUUGGAUGAUUAGCUUCUUAUUGUCAAAAAGGCGCAAAAAAUAUCUUACAGUAAGCAAAAAAGAUUAUCGACAGGCUGCCAUGCAUAUCAUAUGCUUAAAACAUUCUUGUCCUUAUUCAAAUUCAGUCACUUUCCUUAAUCUUUCAUCAAUCUAAUUUCUUCCUUAAGUGCUAUUCCAACAACCCUAUCUUAUCUUAAAUUUAGAGACAUUUAUAUAAUUUGAAAUUUUAAAAAGGCUUUUUUUUAAAAAUAAAUAUUUAUAUAAUUUUAAAAUUUUGUGAGAAAACAAAUGAGAUAUUUUCAUUAUUUUGGUCUUUGCAAUCACCCACUAUCUUUAUUUAUUUCCCAUAUUAUAAAAAAUUGAAAAGAUAAAAUAAAGAAAAUAAAUACAGAAAGUCUUCAAAGAACAGAUUACUUUGUUGUACCAUUUAAAAGUAAGAGUCUAACCUUGAUCCAUCUUUAUAUAUGUAAAUUAAAAUUCUAAAUAUAAUUUAGGUGGUGAUAAAUUUUAUUUCAAAUUUAAAAACUUAGGAGUAUUUACAAAUGUUCAUCAUAAAAUAAAAGAAAAAUAAAAGGAAAGUAAAGAGGCAAGAUGGAGAUGGGGAAAAAAAUUAGGGAAAAUAAUAAUAAUAAUAAUAAUAAUAAUAAUAAUAAUAAUAAUAAUAAUUAAAUAGACAUAGGAAAAUAAUUUUUAGAGUUUUAGUUUAAAUAAAUAAUUGAAAAAAAUGGAUUAUAAAUAUAAUUGAUAAUAAGAGUUUUAUAUAAAUUGGCAAUUUCCUAUAGAUGAAAAUAAUAUUACUUAUAUAGAAAAUUAGGAAUUAGAGUAUUAAUAAUUACAUCAAAGAGAAUAAUAUUAAUGCAAAUGGUAUCAAGAACGUCAAAUACUAAUUUUUAAUUUUUGAUAAAUAGCCGAUUGAAAUAAUUAUUCUUUGAACUAUGUUAUGUUAUGUGUGGAUUAAGUUCUUUAUGAUCAAGUAAUGUUUUUAUGAAAUGUAUUAUGAUUUUAAAUUGGGAAUUUCGAUCAUAUGAUUUAUUGAUCAUUGUGUAAGUGGAUUUUAGUUUAUAAUUUAUUAUAAUGACUUUGAAAUUUUGAUUAUUAGUGGUCUUGCUCAAUAGAGUAUAAAUUAUUAACCUUCGUUACCCUUGAUAGGGGGUAGUGAUGCUAUGCAAUCCUAACCAAUAAGAUGCUAUUAACCUUUGGUAUGCUAUUGAUUGAAUGUUGAUGGGGGAACAAAAUGAAGCUACCCAUCUAGUGCAAAUUCCAUUAUUUGGUUAUAGUGUUAUUAUCAGCGAAAUAGAGUAAAAUAUUUAUUUAUAAAAUCAUUUUGAACAUGAACUUCUACUAUUAAGUGUAUUAUAUUGUUUUAUACUUUUUGAAGUGUCAAUUUUUUUUCAAAAAAAAAAUGUAAACUUAAUUAUUAAAUUAAAUGAGUAGAUUUUUCUUAUUGACUUAUUUUUUCUUAUCGUGUUAAAUAUCGAAUUCACUCUUUUUUUAUAAUUCCACUUUUCAAUUACAAGUGAUGCCAAUGAAGAGAGAUUGUAAUAUAAUUAAGAGUGUUUUUAUUAUAAACAGUUUUGAAAUAGAUAUUGUUUAUGAUUAUUAACUUAAGACUAAUUGUAGUUGUAACUUCUAAAAAUUAAAUUUUAUAGAAUCAUUGAAGUCAUCGUUGAGAUAUUUUAAUUAUUUUUGGUUUUGCUAGUCAACUUAAUUUAUGUAUUAAGUUAUUGGAUUUGACAUGUGAAAUGGCUGUGAUGCUCUUAGCCUUCGGGUUCGAGGUAUCAGAGCCAUUGUCAUCACUUCACGGCCUUCCAACUGGGUAGGCUUGCUCGAAGUCACACCCUCAAAUCACUAGCAUGAAAGCUAGCUUUUACCUUGUUAGGUGAACCGGCUUAGGAAACUGUAAACUGAGAUCCAAUCAAUAAGCAAGAAGUUCAAUUAUUGAAGUUCUUAUUCAUUUGAGUGCUCUUCGACUACUUUAUGUAAAAAAUUUCAUGAAAGGGCCAAGAGGAUAUACAUAUGAUCAGGCAUGGAUGAUGCUUGGUGAUCCCAUACAGUACUCUCACGUGAUAUACGGGCCAAGGAUUAACGAGUAUUCUUGUAGUAAUAACGUUAAGAUAUGAACCCUAAUGGAAAUACUAACUAGAACACGCACGAAAGUAUUAAGCUAUGGUAUCCAUUAGCAUUGGCCAUUAGUUGAAGGUUGCAGUCCUCUAUAGAUCUCCAUUAAUGAUUCUUUUGUGUUAAAUUUAUAAAUGUUUUCUCCAUACUUUUGUGUCAUAUUGGUGGACCCUGGAAGAUCCGUCCUUACAACCAGCCAUAUCAGUAAGACAUUUUUAUUGGGUUUCUGGUAAAUAAAUAUUAGCAUAAAUUGGAAGGCGGUGGCUGUCCAUUUCUGCAGUGAUACACCAUUGUCUUUUUUAAGCUUUUAGUAUUUAAUAAAAUAUUCAAGCUUUUGUAAAUGGUUGAAUAACACUAUCAACAUGUGAUUCACAUGAGUUUAAUAUGUGAUUUCAACCAUGGCCAAUCAUGGGCAACCUAAACCUCAUUGGCCAUCUCCCCCACCGGUCCCUCCACAAACUGUCCCAAAAAUAUGGACAAAUAAUGGAGCUUCGAUUUGGGUCUUUCCCAGUUGUAGUGGCCUCAUCUUCAGAAAUGGAAAAGCAAUUCUUAAAGACAAACGAUCACCUCUUUGCCUCCAGGCCUCACACUGCUGCCGGAAAGUACACUAAUUAUAACUACUCCAACAUCACCUGGGCUCCUUACGGUCCAUACUGGCGCCAAGGGCGUAAAAUCUUCCUCACAGAGAUGUUCAGCUCGAAAAGGCUCGAGUCUUAUGAGUACAUUCGGGUUGAAGAAAGGCAGGCUUUCAUCUCCCGCCUCUACGCAUUGUCAGGAAAGCCAGUCAUGCUUAAAGAACAUCUCUCUCGCGUUACUCUCAGCGUUAUAAGCAGAAUUGUACUGGGGGAGAAGUACUUCAGUGAGUUCGAAUCCGGGAGGUCAAUGGUGACGGUGGAAGAGUGUCAGAAGAUGCUGGUUGAGUUGCUCUUGCUUAAUGGUGUGUUGAAUAUUGGGGAUUGGAUACCGUGGAUCGCAUUCUUGGACUUGCAGGGGUAUGUGAAGAGGAUGAAGGCUUUGCGCCAUAAAUUUGAUAGGUUUUAUGAUCAUGUGCUUGAGAAACACAGGGCCAGGAGAGAAGCAGAGGACUUUGUGGCUAGGACAUGGUGGAUAUGCUUCUGAGAUUGGCUGAUGAUCCUGAUAUUGAGGUUAAGCUCACUACUGAUGGGAUCAAAGGGUUUACACAGGUUAGUGUUAUAUGAGUUCAUGAACAUAUCCAACCAUUCAAAUUAGGCCUAUUCUAUUGAAACCUCGUGAUAAUUUUGCUUGUUUUGUUGUUUCAUGGUCAAGACCUAAUAGCUGGUGGUACAGAUACCUCAGCUACUACUCUGGAAUGGGCGAUGUCCGAGGUCUUGAGGCAGCCAAACAUAGCUAACAAGGCAACCGAAGAGCUGGAUAGAGUUAUAGGGAGAAAUAGAUGGGUGGAAGAGAAAGACAUUCCCCAACUUCCUUACAUAGAUGCAAUUGUGAAGGAGACAAUGAGGCUACACCCUGUUGCUGUCCUGCUUGCCCCUCACCUGGCUCUUCAGGACUGCCAUGUAGCUGGCUAUGAUAUUCGCAAAGGAACCCGAGUCCUAAUAAACACAUGGAGCAUAGGGCGGGACCCCAAUCUAUGGGAUGCACCUGAGGAAUUUUUCCCAGAGAGGUUCCUAGGGAAGGCAAUUGAUGUAAAGGGGCAAAACUUUGAGCUACUGCCAUUUGGUUCAGGGCGGAGGAUGUGUCCUGGCUACAGCCUUGCCCUAAAGAUGAUUGGAUCCAGCUUGGCUAACAUGUUGCAUGGAUUCCACUGGAAAUUGCCUGGAGAUAUGAAGCCAGAAGAGCUGAACAUUGAGGAAGUGUUUGGACUGACAACUCCAAGGAAGGUCCCACUUGUUGCUUUCAUGGAGCCUAGACUCCCAAGUCAUCUUUACUAGUCGUGCCUUAGACCUAUGUUUUCUUAAUAUUAUUCAGUUGUGUGCAAUGGUUUUAGUCUGUUAAUUCUAUUUCUCCUGUUCUCUAUCCAUGAAUGCAUUAGUGGCUUGCUCAAUUGAUAACAAACAUUACAAAAAUGAGGUUACGGUUAACAAAAGAUACACCUAAUGCCAAACUUUUCAAUUGUGUCGAUGGUGUAUAUGUCACUAAUGAUCUCAUUUCUUAGGACUUCAUUUUCUUUUCUCAUGUGGGGGAGGCAGCCAUGAAUCAGUCAGUUGCUUCAUUGUUAAUCAAAGAAAAUGAGGCGAAUUUGAAAGAAUUGAUUCAGAUAGCUAAAAUGUUCUCCUCAUAAGUAUUCAUACACUUUAUGCCUAAAAUGUGACCCACUAUGAAAUACAAGACAACCCUCAGUAAAUCUCUAUUCAUAAUAUGAUCUAUAGUUCUACCCACUUUUCUACCCUUCCUGCUUCUGGGAUGUAGGGAGAGUUUGGAUUGUUUAUGAGAUUCUGGCGUAGAGUGGUUUUGAAUAAGUGGUUGGGGAUUUUGGUGAUAUGAUCCUAUGCCUAUGGCCUCGACGGGAACUUUCUUUUUUGGGUUUCUUCUGUGCUUCUCCUUCUUCCUUUGUCUCCUUCUUAUGCAAGUCAUUUUUGCUUUGGACCGUGCACGCAAAGACCCCAACAGGAAUGUCAUGUGGGCCGAAGUGACUUGAGACUAAAUUGAGUUUGUGUCACUUGGUCCAACCCACUUAAGAUCCUAAUUAAUUAAUUAACUCUAAUGUGCUUAAAUAAAUUAACUAACCUAAUUCAGAAAGUAAGUUUAUAAGAUUUAGUGUAAUAUUACAUUUUUACCAGAAUACCUUUAUUGUACACUUAUGAAUUAUAUACCCAAAAUAUCCUUAAAGCAAGUGCCACAAUGAAACAGGAGCUCAAGUGAGGGCCACUUCUGAAGUUGACUCAACUACACUCAAAAUCCAAUUCUGGCUCCCUAAACUCAACUACUUUCAAAAUAUUGGUUCUUCAAAAUCCAAUUCUGAAGUUAGACUCAACAUUCCAUUCCAUUAAAAAAAGUUAACUACACUCUAGUAUCCUAUGAAAUUACAACGAUACAAAGCUUGAGUGUAUGACCUACUAUCUAUUACAUGCAAACUCCUCAUGAAUUGAUAUUUGUAAUAUAACAAAGAAUUUAGGUAAAGUCUCUAGAAAACUUUGAAUGGAAGAGUUUAAGUGUUGAUAAAUUUUAUUUAAAAUCGAAAAAUUAGGGAUAUGUACAAAUGUUUAGACGAGGUUUAUAUUUAAUAAAAAAUAAUAAAUAAAAAUAAAAAGCCUUUAAAGAACUUUGGUAUGAAGAGUUUAGGUGUUUAUAAAUUUUAUUUCAAAUAAAAAAAAUUAGGAAUAUAUACAAAUAUUUAGACGAGAUUCGUAUUGAAUUGAAAAGAGUACAUAAAAGCGGCAAUUAGCUAAAUGGUUAAUAUGGCUUGUUGCGUGUUUGGGUGUUGAAUGGAUGAAACCACAGACAAAUAAAAGGAAAAUAAAGAGGCAUGGUGGAGAGGAGGAAUAAAUUUUGGGGACAAUAAUAUAAUUAAAUAUACACACAAAUAGAUUUUUGAGAGUUUUAGGUUAGAUAAAUAAUUGAAAAAGGUAUAUUAUUAACGUAUUUGGUAAUGGAGUUGUAUACAAAUUGGGAAUUGCCUCCAUAUUAAAAUAAUAUUAAUGCAAGAGUAUUAAGAAUGCUAAAUAAUAAUUUUAGAUAAAUAGCGCAUCAAAAUUUUUUGAACUAUGUUAUGCCAGGUAAGUUCACUGUGGUCACGUGCUUUAAAAAUUCGACUGACUUUUAUUAUAUAAGAGUUAAUAGUGCAAUAAAUCAUUUUGUAAUUCCUAAUCAAUUUGUAAUUAAAGUAUUAAAAUAUUUAAAUUUUCUAAAGUGGAUCAAUUAAUAAUAUUCUUCUAAAAUGCGAUAUGAUUUGUUCUUUGGUUUUUGAAAUAAAUUAAAAAUAUCAUAUGAUUUAUUGAUUAUUAUGUGAGUGGAUUUUAGUUCUCAAUUUAUUAUAUAUAAUGACUUUGAAACUUUGGUUAUUGGUGGCGGAUAAAUUGUUGAUCUUCACUACCUUUGACGAGGGUAGUAAUGUAGUAUAACCCUAACCAGUAAGGAUGUUAUUAGCCUUGGUACACCAUAUAUUAAAAAUCAUUCCCUCCAUCAAUAAAAUGAAUAAAUUGAGGCUAACUACCUUACGUAAGUCUCACUAUUUGGAUAUAGUGAAUCAAAGUAAAAUAUUUAUUUAUGAAAUUAUUUUGAAUACGAACCAAUAAUGCAAGUGUAUUAUAUUAUUUUAUAUUUAAAUUGAAAGUGCCAAUUUUUUUUUUAAAGAAAUAUAUCUCAAAAGAUUUAAUGUUAUAUUAUAUUUUAGCCUCCUUGUUGAACUCUCCUAGAAAACUGUAGAGUGAGAUCGAAUCAAACGAGCAGGAAUUCAAUUAUUAAAAUACUUAUUCAUUAAUAAUGCAAGUGUAUUAUAUUAUUUUAUAUUUAAAUUGAAAGUGCCAAUUUUUUUUUAAAAGAAAUAUAUCUCAAAAGAUUUAAUGUUAUAUUAUAUUUUAGCCUCCUUGUUGAACUCUCCUAGAAAACUGUAGAGUGAGAUCGAAUCAAACGAGCAAGAAUUCAAUUAUUAAAAUACUUAUUCAUUUGGCUGUAUACAAAAAUUUCAUGGAAGGGCAAAGAAGAUGUAGAUAUGAUCAGGCAUGGAUGAUGGUGUUCCCAUACAGUACUCUCACGUGAUGAACGGGGCAAGGAUUAACUAGAACACAAAAGUAUUAAACUAUACAUACAAGAUCCGUUAGGGUUUUGGCCAUUGGCUGAAGAUUGCAGUCCUGUAUAGAUCUCCAUUGAUUCUUUUGUGAUAAAUUUACAAACGUUUUCUCCAUGCUUUUGUGUCAUUUUGGUGGACCCCGGAAGAUCCAUUAUUAAAACCAGCCAUAUCAGUAAGGAAUGAUAAUAUAUUUUGGAAGGUGGGUGUACGUCUAUUUCUGAAGUGAAAAAGGCACCAUUGUUUUUUAAUGUUUAAGCGUUUAAGUUAUGGUUGAUUAAUAUUAACAAAUACGAUUCACAUGAGAGUUGGGACUAAUAUGUGAUUUCCACAAUCUUAUUUGCUUAUAAAUAGUCCCCCAUUCCUCAAACUUACACCACCACCAUCACCACCAAUGGAGGCUCCUUCUUGUGUAGUUUUGGCCCUGGUGUGGCUAGCUGCAGCAGCCCUUCUCUCAAAACUUUUCAGUUUCCGGCCAGCCCACAAGCAAAACCUUCCACCAGGCCCCAAACCAUGGCGGAUCAUCGGCAACCUAAACCUCAUUGGCCAUCUCCCCCACCUGUCCCUCCACAAACUGUCCCAAAAAUAUGGACAAAUAAUGCAGCUUCAAUUCGGGUCCUUCCCAGUUGUAGUGGCCUCGUCUCCAGAAAUGGCAAGGCAGUUCUUAAAGACAAAUGAUCACCUCUUUGCCUCUAGGCCUCAGACUGCUGCUGGCAAGUACACUGCUUAUAACUACUCCAACAUCACCUGGGCAC